GUCCAAAGGGCGGGUCAUAGACGGAUUUCUCGGUUAUCAAAAAAAAAAAAGAUCUUGCACAGACUUUCAAGAACUUCAGAAGUAUUAGACAAGCAUGUUUGCAGGCUACGUCUAUCUUAAACUCUGCAACAUUCCAGUCCUAGAACAAUCUUCAUCUUCCUUAUCUCCACGGGCAGUGCAUUGUUUGAUCCACUUGAGUCCUUCCUCACUACUAAAUCUUCGGAAGAUCUUCGUGCAAGUCAACUUGCACGUAGGGUUGUGUAUUUUUUAAGAACAGUGGUGGCUGUUCAGGAAAGCAACCCUUGCAUCAUCCACGGAGUUAGAAGCUUUGGUGUACUCAUCAGAUAUAUGCAACGGCAGCAGCUUCCAGUCUUGGGAAACUGAUCAUGGAUGGAUGCCCUUAUUUCGAUGCAUAUGGAAUUGAGAAAAUCUUAUGGACCUGAAGUGUCUGGUAUCCCUCAAUGGAUCAGAUGGGAAAAACACUAACUACAUCCUAGGGAACUAGAUAUUGUGAGCUUGGUGGAUGACUGUCAUACAGGAUUGAAACGUAUCCUGUCUAUGCUCUUGGAAUGAGAGGUAUCGGCUGAAUUAAGUGAUGAAGAUGCAACAAACCUAAUUCGGCUGCUUUUUGCGUCUACUAAGAAGGCAGUUUUGGAGAAGAUUGUUCCUGUUAGUGUUUUCUAAAAAGAAAUAUCACACCAAAGCACAAAAGGCUAAUCAAUUUGGGCAUUGAGAUUAUCCAAUACGUAUCUUGGUGUGGCGACCCGGAUAGCUUGUUAUUGCUGCUUCUGUCUCUUGCAUGCAACCGGUGUUUGCAGCCAUGGCGUGAUUGACUUCUGUUCUUCCUUAUCAUAGCAUACAUCUUAUCCCCAUUUCCUUGAAAAGAAAGAGAAAGAAUCUUUCUGUGGUUCAAUUUUGAGAUAUGUUGAACCUGCGAGUUUCUACUACAAGCUUAUAAUCAUCUUGCAGUCCUAAUGUGUAAUCUUAUUUGGUCAGUAUCAGCUGAGCCUGCCUAGAAAGAAAGAAGAAUGAGGCAUCAGAGAGAUUGGGAUUUUCUGUAAAUGGUGGUUACCCCUCUCUACUCUGCCCAUGAUUUCUCCAUUGAUAACUAAAAAACCAACAGUCUUCAAAAUAUACAUGAAAAUAAUAAAAUAAUAAUAAUACCGUGAGAGAUGAUUCUGUGUGGAUGACCAGCUCGGACGUUCUGGUGAUUUCUCUUUGCUAUGAACUUCUCCGUGUGGAUGACCAUUCCAAACAUUCUGGUGACUUAUUUUUGCUUUGAAUUUAAA
Solanum tuberosum (potato) is the source of this 1289-nucleotide long non-coding RNA. RefSeq lists it as uncharacterized. Lineage: Eukaryota; Viridiplantae; Streptophyta; Magnoliopsida; Solanales; Solanaceae. The record is from RefSeq and is a predicted model, not a curated record. The transcript has 5 exons.